RNAcentral lists this microRNA precursor (90 nucleotides) under Xiphophorus maculatus (southern platyfish). Its description in RNAcentral is "let-7 microRNA precursor family". It matches the Rfam family "let-7 microRNA precursor family". Rfam says of the family: This family represents the microRNAs (miRNA) let-7 and mir-98. let-7 was identified from a study of developmental timing in C. elegans, and was later shown to be part of a much larger class of non-coding RNAs termed miRNAs. The extents of the hairpin precursors are not generally known and are estimated based on hairpin prediction. The record is from Rfam by way of RNAcentral. Lineage: Eukaryota; Metazoa; Chordata; Actinopteri; Cyprinodontiformes; Poeciliidae.
CUGUGGUGAGGUAGUAAGUUGUGUUGUUGGAUGGGAUCAGGAUUGUGUACCCAUACAGGAGAUAACUAUACAACUUACUUCCUUCCUCAG